RNAcentral lists this ribosomal RNA (282 nucleotides) under uncultured bacterium. Its description in RNAcentral is "partial 16S ribosomal RNA". It matches the Rfam family "Bacterial small subunit ribosomal RNA", at positions 335 to 633 of the family's 1533-position model. The record is from RNAcentral.
GUUCCUACGGGGCGCAGCAGUGGGGGAUAUUGCACAAUGGGGGGAACCCUGAUGCAGCGACGCCGCGUGGGUGAAGGAGCGUUUCGGCGCGUAAAGCCCUAUCGGCAGGGAAGAAGGAGGACGGUACCUGACUAAGAAGCCCCGGCUAAAUACGUGCCAGCAGCCGCGGUAAUACGUAGGGGGCAAGCGUUAUCCGGAUUUACUGGGUGUAAAGGGGGCGCAGACGGCAGCGCAAGCCAGGGGUGAAAGGUCGGGGCCCAACCCCGGGACUGCUCUUGGGAC